Molecule: ribosomal RNA, 430 nt
Filed under: bacterium
Lineage: Bacteria
Also listed under: 2 other names
Description: partial 16S ribosomal RNA
Rfam family: Bacterial small subunit ribosomal RNA
Source: RNAcentral
UGGGGAAUAUUGGACAAUGGGCGCAAGCCUGAUCCAGCCAUGCCGCGUGUGUGAAGAAGGCCUUUUGGUUGUAAAGCACUUUAAGCGAGGAGGAGGCUACUUGGAUUAAUACUCUAGGAUAGUGGACGUUACUCGCAGAAUAAGCACCGGCUAACUCUGUGCCAGCAGCCGCGGUAAUACAGAGGGUGCGAGCGUUAAUCGGAUUUACUGGGCGUAAAGCGUGCGUAGGCGGCUUCUUAAGUCGGAUGUGAAAUCCCUGAGCUUAACUUAGGAAUUGCAUUCGAUACUGGGAAGCUAGAGUAUGGGAGAGGAUGGUAGAAUUCCAGGGGUAGCGGUGAAAUGCGUAGAGAUCUGGAGGAAUACCGAUGGCGAAGGCAGCCAUCUGGCCUAAUACUGACGCUGAGGUACGAAAGCAUGGGGAGCAAACAGG